GACGAACGCUGGCGGCGUGCCUAAUACAUGCAAGUUGAGCGCUGAAGGUUGGUACUUGUACCAACUGGAUGAGCAGCGAACGGGUGAGUAACGCGUGGGGAAUCUGCCUUUGAGCGGGGGACAACAAUUGGAAACGAAUGCUAAUACCGCAUAAAAACUUUAAACACAAGUUUUAAGUUUGAAAGAUGCAAUUGCAUCACUCAAAGAUGAUCCCGCGUUGUAUUAGCUAGUUGGUGAGGUAAAGGCUCACCAAGGCGAUGAUACAUAGCCGACCUGAGAGGGUGAUCGGCCACAUUGGGACUGAGACACGGCCCAAACUCCUACGGGAGGCAGCAGUAGGGAAUCUUCGGCAAUAGACGAAAGUCUGACCGAGCAACGCCGCGUGAGUGAAGAAGGUUUUCGGAUCGUAAAACUCUGUUGGUAGAGAAGAACGUUGGUGAGAGUGGAAAGCUCAUCAAGUGACGGUAACUACCCAGAAAGGGACGGCUAACUACGUG
RNAcentral lists this ribosomal RNA (497 nucleotides) under uncultured bacterium. RNAcentral's name for it is "partial 16S ribosomal RNA". It matches the Rfam family "Bacterial small subunit ribosomal RNA", at positions 28 to 507 of the family's 1533-position model. The record is from RNAcentral.